GUUUUGUAUUGCAGAAUGGGUGUUUAAGCUCUAUAAUGUAAACUUUGUUGAUCUAGAGUAGUUUGGUGGUUUCUUGUGUAGGUCAAUGAAGAGUCUUAACAGCGAGGCAGUUGACCUGGAAGCUGAUACAGAUGAAAAGAGAGAGAGAGAGAUAAACAGACUCGCAGCAUCAGGCUAGUGAAAGCCUUGUCGGAUCACUGAAUAAGAUCCCUCUCUCCAUCCCGGGAAUCCUUCUGUUCAAGUUUCCCACUAGUUUUCAGAACUAGACCAGCAUCCUUUUGGUGUUUUAGCAGGAGUGUUAUUUGCCAGGGCCAAAAUGAGGGAAAAAUCCUAGUCCUGACAUCAGCAGGAACUAAUUUGUACCUCAAAAUUGGGUUGCAGUGGUAACAAAAACUCUGCAAACAAAGUUGACCUUCUCAAGUGCAAGCCCAAAGGAAAAUAAGUUACCAUCCGAAGACGGCAUUGUUAAUGCUUUAGAUUUGAAACUGGUUCCUUGGAUUGCUGGUAAUUUGUCUCUUUCUCUUCACUCUUCUAAACAUGCUCCUAAAAAUUAUUAAGAAGGAAAAAAUUUAAACCUACUGGUCUUCAUACCCGCAAAGGUACAUUCAUUUUCUCUACUCUUUUAUAAUGUUCAUAAUCAUUUCAAUUGAUCCAUUUCUCAUUUCAGACAGUAAUUUGCGAAUGUGAAUUUGCAAUUUUCUGCAGGUGGAUGUGUUGUUGAUGAGAAAUUGCCAAAUUAUGCUGUUUCUGAUCUGACAGACUUCGAGGUACUGUCUAUUGUCUCCAAAGCUAUUGCUUGUAUAUGUUUUCAUAUACAAAGAGAACAGGUUUGGAUUUUAAAAAAUGUUAGUACAUGAAUAUAAGAAAUAGGGUUAAGGAAAUUGUUCUCCAACAACCAUCCUUCAUUGUCAGAGUGUUCAGUUCAGUGGCAUGACGAUAUACUGAGUCAUAAAUACUAAAUACCUGGAAAAAUAGCUGGCAAAAUAAUGAAUUAAAUUUGUCUGUACAUGCUUUGAUUUAUCCAAAUAGGGUCUUAUCUAAAUGGGAGAUUCCUGGGAUGAUUCCUAGAAAAAUUAUCUAAAAAUAAGAGCAUAAUUUGGCACAUUCUAAUGCAACUUUAAACUUUAUUUUUAAAGGAGUUGUUAGGUCUUGUAGUAGAUGUAUGGAGAUAUUAUGGGUAUCCACCAAAUAGUUGAUGAUUUGACCAUUAGCUUAUGAGAUGAUGAUUCAUAGUUGUACACCAAAAUUAUGUUGCAUUCAUAACCAUCAAAAGUGGAAAUUUAAUUAGUGGAUCUUGCAAUUUGGUUGCUCUUGUUCUUGUCAAUUUGUUGGUGAGCUUCCACUAAAAUUGAAAAAACUAGCGUUUUAACAUGGAGGAGGACCACAGUGGGCUUCUUCUUCCACCAAUGAAUCAGUGAUGGCCUUCGGCAAAUACGAAAAUGCCUCGAGCUUGUGAUAAUCAACAUAUAAAGAGGAAAGGAACCCAUUGUGUGUAAUGUUUAUAAGCUCGUGGAUGAAGAAUUAUUGGACCAUUGCCAUUCCUGAAGUGAUUUUUGCAAUGCUAGUACUCAAAAUGGACCCAGUCAGGGGGAAAUGAUCCCUUCAAGUUUGGACACUGUUGAAUGUAUGACUAAAUGACCUCAGUGCAACCAAGUGGAUUGCUUCUUUUACAACCUUGCUAUAGGGGCGGCAUGUUCUAAUAGAAGGGCGACAUUCUAAUAAGACAAAAAGAAUCAUUAC
Molecule: long non-coding RNA, 1740 nt
Organism: Papaver somniferum (opium poppy)
Lineage: Eukaryota; Viridiplantae; Streptophyta; Magnoliopsida; Ranunculales; Papaveraceae
Exons: 4
Source: RefSeq, a predicted model, not a curated record